Molecule: long non-coding RNA, 1298 nt
Organism: Schistocerca piceifrons (Central American locust)
Lineage: Eukaryota; Metazoa; Arthropoda; Insecta; Orthoptera; Acrididae
Exons: 3
Source: RefSeq, a predicted model, not a curated record
CGUACUGUCCGCAACUUGGGAAGAUUACGUGACGAUAAACAUGUGCUUCGAAACGAAAUUUGGAUGUUAAUAGAACUGUUGUUAGCUAAACGAAGAGCAACCGUUGUACAUUAUUCAAGAAUAUUUCUCUGCUGAUUGAACAGUGUCUGCCUCAGCUGUAGUUCAGCAUGUUGGGUGCAAGUAGCCAGCAAUGGCACCACUAAAGAGGCAGUCACAUGGGUGAACAUCCGAGAAGCAGAAAGCAUUCGGAAGUCAGGGAGAUAAAAGAAGAUUCCAAAAAUCUGCAUCGAUGAUUCUUUAUGGACAAAAUCCCUCCAAACAAAAUUGAGUUGUAUAUCAGAGCCUGUAAGCAGAGGACAAAUAUUGGACCCAUUUACAAUUAAGCUGGGGAGAUGGUUUGUCACCAUGACUUUUCAGCUGUGUUCUGGAAUACAUGAUAAGGGAAUGUUACAAGGAAAAUCCUAAAAACAUAAGAAUUGGAACGAAGAAAGAUCAAAUAAACUUAAAUAGCUUGGGAUUUGCAGAUGACAGCAUUACUAGCUAAUAAUGUUCAGGAAGCCAGAAACCAAAUAACAAGAUUAACAGGCACUAUUAGUCUGGCUAGCAUCAUGUAGGGGCAUUGACAUGUCUAAGAGUUUGCGUAUUUUACUGUAGCUCAUCAAAGGGUAACUCCAAAAGCUAGCAAGUUUUCUUUCUUUUGUGUGUGCCUAUCAACAACUCAAUGCCUCUGCUUUGUGUUGAGUAGUUUUCUUUAAUUGUAAAGUAUUUACAUUCUACAAAACUUUCCUACAACAUUUAAUGUGAUAAUGAUAUAGUCUGCAGAGUUCAAAUAUUACUGAGUUGUUUACGUGUGUAUGUUCUUUUCUGAAUGUCUACUAGUUAUUUAUUUUCUGAACUCAGUAGUGCAGUAUGCUUCUCCUCUCAGAUAAAUACGCAUUAUGUGAAGCAAUGUUUUUUGUGAUAUUAGUUGGUUACAUAUUUUCUGAAAUCUUUUGUAUGUAUUUUCUCACAGCUCAAUACCUGUCAUGCGAAGCAAUGUACAGAGUGCUGAACAUGUUAGUCCCUCGUGGGAGUGUGUUAGGCCCAUUACUGUUUCUCAUUUGCAUUAAUGACUUCCCACUGUGGAUCACAUAACAUGCAAAAUUUAUAUAUGCCAUACUGAGUAACUAUUUUACUAUUGUGAUUUAUCUGUUUAAUUAUUAACUUUGUCAGUCACUUACUAACCACACAAUUUUAGUUGGCCUCUGAACAGAGGAAACUGGGAGCAGAAACUUGCAAUUGACUCCUAAUCACAUUUG